UAUAAAAUUAAUCGAUUUAAGAAAUAUUAUUAGGUAGAAUUUUAAUAUUUUUGGAAGACCUUUAUGUAAAACAAAAGAAUUACAUUAUGGACCAGGAUUAGAUACCCUGUUACUUUUAAUUAUAAAAUUUUGGAAUAGUAAUAAUAAUGAAAUUUAACGGAUUUGGCGGCAAGAUAGCUAUUUAGAGGAACCUGCCCUGUAAACGAUGAACCACGAAUAACAUUACUUUUAUUUGUAAUCAGUUUGUAUAUCGCUGUUGUUAGUUAGUUUCUGUAGAAAACUUUCUAUUAUAAAAAAAUUAAAGACUUCAAGUAAAGGUGCAGCUAAUAUAAAAGUUAGAGGUGGGUUACAUUAUUAGGAUUAAUACGGAUAAAGUUUUUGAAAUAACUUUUGAAGGUGGAUUUAAUAGUAAAGUUUAUAAAAACUUGAUUUAAGCUCUUUCUUGUGUACACACCGCCCGUCGCUCUCCUUUUUAAAU
RNAcentral lists this ribosomal RNA (478 nucleotides) under Savignium sp. 'rossi'. RNAcentral's name for it is "partial 12S small subunit ribosomal RNA". The stretch from base 132 to 478 matches the Rfam family "Microsporidia small subunit ribosomal RNA", at positions 751 to 1216 of the family's 1311-position model. Lineage: Eukaryota; Metazoa; Arthropoda; Thecostraca; Balanomorpha; Pyrgomatidae. The record is from RNAcentral.